This 379-nucleotide long non-coding RNA is filed under the name Phoenix dactylifera (date palm). RNAcentral's name for it is "long non-coding RNA (PDAC_LNC016258)". Lineage: Eukaryota; Viridiplantae; Streptophyta; Magnoliopsida; Arecales; Arecaceae. The record is from RNAcentral.
UGGGCAAGGGUUACUAAGGGAGGAAGGAGGGUGUUGCAAGAGAGUAUUCAGACCCGAACAACACUUGAAUUUUAGUAUCUAUUCUUCCGGGCUGGACCAAUUGGGCAAGCCUCGUAGUCUAUAAGCUCUUCUAGGGCUUGUAAUUUGGAAGUUUUCAUUUUGUUUGAAUUUGAGAUGGAUUAUAUAGAUGGUUACUUGUGUCGCCUAUUUUUCCUUCUCAUGACUAGGCAUUUUUAUUGUGUAUUAGGACUAUCAUAUUUUUACACUAUCCCACCAUCGACACAACCUUGUAAUAGAACUUUACAAAACUGUACCCCCAAAAAAAUUAUAAAUCCAUAGCAAGGUUUGCAUGUCAUGCGGGCCGCCCAGGUCUAUGGAU